RNAcentral lists this ribosomal RNA (371 nucleotides) under uncultured organism. RNAcentral's name for it is "bacterial SSU rRNA". It matches the Rfam family "Bacterial small subunit ribosomal RNA", at positions 527 to 896 of the family's 1533-position model. The record is from RNAcentral.
CAGAGGCCCAAGCGUUACUGAGAAUCACUGGGUUUAAAGGGUGCGUAGGUGGUCCGUUAAGUCCGUUGUGAAAUCCCUGGGCUCAACCCAGGAAAUGCUUCGGAUACUGGCGGACUUGAGGCUAGUAGGGGUCACUGGAACUGACGGUGGAGCGGUGAAAUGCGUAGAUAUCGUCAGGAACGCCAAUGGUGAAGACAGGUGACUGGGCUAGUUCUGACACUGAGGCACGAAAGCGUGGGGAUCAAACGGGAUUAGAUACCCCGGUAGUCCACGCCCUAAACGAUGCAGACUAGACUGCAGCGGGUUACACCCCGUUGCGGUCGGAGCGAAAUUGUUAAGUCUGCCACCUGGGAAGUACGGUCGCAAGGCUA